CCUACGGGAGGCAGCAGUGGGGAAUAUUGCACAAUGUGGGAAACCCUGAUGCCGCGACGCCGCGUGAGUGCAGAAGUAUUUCGGUACGUAAAGCUCUAUCAGCAGUGACGAAAAUGACGGUACCUGACUAAGAAGCCCCGGCUAACUACGUGCCAGCAGCCGCGGUAAUACGUAGGGAGCACGCAGUAGCCGGAUUUACUGGGUGCAAAGGGAGCGUAGACGGCAGCGCAAGUCUGGAGUGAAAUGCCAUGGCUUAACCAUGGAACUGCUUUUGACAUAGUGCAGCGUGAGUGCAGGAGGGGUAAGCGGAAUUUCUAGUGUAGCGGUUCAAUGCGUAGAUAUUAGGAGGGACACCAGUGGCGAAGGCGGCUUACUGGACUGUAACUGACGUUGAGGCUCGAAAGCGUGGGGAGCAAACAGGAUUAGAUACCCCAGUAGUC
This 440-nucleotide ribosomal RNA is filed under the name uncultured bacterium. RNAcentral's name for it is "partial 16S ribosomal RNA". It matches the Rfam family "Bacterial small subunit ribosomal RNA", at positions 338 to 795 of the family's 1533-position model. The record is from RNAcentral.